Molecule: ribosomal RNA, 484 nt
Filed under: uncultured bacterium
Lineage: Bacteria
Description: partial 16S ribosomal RNA
Rfam family: Bacterial small subunit ribosomal RNA
Source: RNAcentral
AUUGAACGCUGGCGGCAGGCCUAACACAUGCAAGUCGAGCGGAAGCAGGGAGCUUGCUCCUGGAUUCAGCGGCGGACGGGUGGGUAAUGCCUAGGAAUCUGCCUGGUAGUGGGGGAUAACGUCCGGAAAUAGGCGCUAAUACCGCAUACGUCCUGAGGGAGAAAGUGGGGGAUCUUCGGACCUCACGCUAUCAGAUGAGCCUAGGUCGGAUUAGCUAGUUGGUGGGGUAAAGGCCUACCAAGGCGACGAUCCGUAACUGGUCUGAGAGGAUGAUCAGUCACACUGGAACUGAGACACGGUCCAGACUCCUACGGGAGGCAGCAGUGGGGAAUAUUGGACAAUGGGCGAAAGCCUGAUCCAGCCAUGCCGCGUGUGUGAAGAAGGUCUUCGGAUUGUAAAGCACUUUAAGUUGGGAGGAAGGGCAGUAAGUUAAUACCUUGCUGUUUUGACGUUACCAACAGAAUAAGCACCGGCUAACUUCGUG